GCACAACGCGAAGAACCUUACCUACCCUUGACAUGUCUGGAAUCCUGAAGAGAUUUAGGAGUGCUCGCAAGAGAACCGGAACACAGGUGCUGCAUGGCUGUCGUCAGCUCGUGUCGUGAGAUGUUGGGUUAAGUCCCGCAACGAGCGCAACCCUUGUCAUUAGUUGCUACGAAAGGGCACUCUAAUGAGACUGCCGGUGACAAACCGGAGGAAGGUGGGGAUGACGUCAAGUCCUCAUGGCCCUUAUGGGUAGGGCUUCACACGUCAUACAAUGGUCGGGACAGAGGGUCGCCAACCCGCGGAGGGGAGCCAACUCCACGAAACCCGACUCGUAGUCCGGAUCGCAGUCUGCAGCUCGACUGCGUGAAGUACGGAAUCGCUAGUAAUCGCGAAUCAG
Molecule: ribosomal RNA, 397 nt
Filed under: uncultured bacterium
Lineage: Bacteria
Description: bacterial SSU rRNA
Rfam family: Bacterial small subunit ribosomal RNA
Source: RNAcentral